CUAGCAUAAGGUCACAAACUCCGGGAGGUUCCUAACAGCAAGGAAAUGGAAUAGAGGAAUUGUCAGCCCUUUCAGAGUCUUACUCUGUCAUGUCACCCUUGGUAGUGUGCCAUGGUGUCACAGCUCACAGCAACCUCCAACUCCUGGGUUCAAGCAAUCCUCUUGCCUCAGCCUCCCAAGUAGCUGGGACUACAGGUGUCUGCCAUGAUGCCAGGCAUCAGUUCUUUGCUCCUUGAAGCAAGAUGAUCCAUCUCAGAUGAAAAGGUUCUUAUUGUCAAGAUCCUUGCCAUCAAGAAAAGUCAAUGGGGUGGCGCCUGUGGCUCAGAGGAAUAGGGCGCCGGCCCCAUAUGCCGGAGGUGGCAGGUUCAAACCCAGCCCCAGCCAAAAACUGCAAAAAAAAAAAAAAAAAAAAGAAGAAGAAGAAAAAAAGAAAAGUCAAUGCAUGAAUUAUAAUUUAUUUACCACAAUGGGAUUUCUCCAGGGCAAAGAUAAGGGCUGAAUAAAGAACUGAAUAUUGGGACGGUGU
Long non-coding RNA from Nycticebus coucang (slow loris), 526 nucleotides. RefSeq lists it as uncharacterized. The record is from RefSeq and is a predicted model, not a curated record. The transcript is spliced from 3 exons. Lineage: Eukaryota; Metazoa; Chordata; Mammalia; Primates; Lorisidae.